UCAUUCUUUAAAAGACUGAAGACCGUUAUGGAAAAAUGGAAGGAGCUCGGAAGCUAAGCAGGGUCGGGCCUGGUUAGUAUUUGGAUGGGACACCGCCUGGGAAUACCAGGU
This 111-nucleotide ribosomal RNA is filed under the name Sinocyclocheilus anshuiensis. Lineage: Eukaryota; Metazoa; Chordata; Actinopteri; Cypriniformes; Cyprinidae. The record is from RNAcentral.